CAUCAAAAUUAUUUUUCUCUUCAACUCUAGAAGGCUCCCAAGAAGCAAGAACUUUCAUCUUCAACAAAGGGAGAUAGAGAAAAGUAACAGAAGAGAGAAAGAGAGAGUGAGGGAGAGAUUAAGGGGUCAAGGGUGGCGUUUUUCUUCAAGACCAUGGCAGCAGCUACAGUGACGUGAAGCAUCCAUGGAGCAACUAAAAAUCUUCAUCCUUUCAAUCCUCAAAUUUUAGCAAACUAAGGAGCUAAGUAUCAAGGUUGAGAUCCUAUGGGGCAGCAUAUACAUAUUAUGUACGGAUAAAUUCUAAAGGUACAAAUAUUAAUUUUGAGAAUCCGCCAGCUUAGGAUUUCCACUCAGCUAUUUUGGAAGUGCUUCAUUAUUCCGGAGCCUAGAAUUAUGAUAUAGAUAUUUUGAUGUAUAUAUUUAUUUAUCCAUGGGUACGGCGGGGCCUUGUCCCAUCAUAUAAUACUAUUGAUAUUCUUAGAGGUCUGUAGAUAUAUAUAUGGGUGAUAUAUCAAUGUUAUCCAAUGGUACUAGUAUGACUUAUAUUUUGGGAACAUUCCUAUUUAUAGUGACGGCCUUAUCGACUUGCAUAUAUGUAUAUGAUAUAUAGCGGGAUGUUCC
Molecule: long non-coding RNA, 621 nt
Organism: Solanum dulcamara
Lineage: Eukaryota; Viridiplantae; Streptophyta; Magnoliopsida; Solanales; Solanaceae
Exons: 3
Source: RefSeq, a predicted model, not a curated record